ACCUUUACCUGAAGUGAGUUUAUCUUUAUCUUUACCUGAAGUGACUUUACCUUUACCUGAGGUGAGUUUAUCUUUACCUUUACCUGAAGUGAGUUUACCUUUACCUGAAGUGAGUUUACCUUGAGUUUAUCUCGUACCUUUACCUUGAUGAGUGUAUCUCUUAUCUUAUCUUGAUUGAAUGUAUAUCUUAUCUUUAUCUUGAUUAUUAUAAAGUCCUAAGAAUCUGUUCUUCUCUGUGCUUGUCGUGAGUAAAGAAUUGGAUCACGUCAAUAGUGCAGUUUAGGUAUUACAGUUAGGACCCUAAUUAUAUCUUACCUUUUGUGCAUACCCUCUACCACGAGUAGAUGUGGGCUUGCAAUUAUCUUUACCUUUUAGCAUACCCUAUACCAGGAGUAUAGUGGGCUUGCUAGUAUCUUUACCUAGAUUGUGUCUUCCUAUCACUGCUCAAGAGAGUAGAUGUUAAGGAUUAUCUUUUACCUUGAUUUUUAGUUGUUGUUGAUAUCCAGAACCAUAUCAUUAUUUAUGUUUAGAUUUGUAGUAAUGUAGUUUCAACUAGUCUUGAUGAAUUAGUCCCUCAUUGAAUUCUCGGGUGAUUAGUAGAAUUUGUUCGCUCUAGUAUCAAUGUGGGUUUUGAUAUGUUGAUUGUUGUGUAUGGUUCUUGGUUAUACUGUGUUAGGUGUUGUUAAUACACACCUGUAAUUUAGAUUUAAUGAUGGGUUACUAACACUUGAGAAUGCAGAUGGUAAGUAGUGUUAAGAGUUGACUUACUCUAUAAGGUUGUAUAAUUAUAUUUAGAAUGUAAGUGAUUAACGUGUAAUUAUUUGUUUUUCUCUAUCUUUGGUUUUACUAAAUUAAAGUAAAUUAUCUUGUUGAAUAACUCAUGUCGGUCAGUUACACAUCCCUUCUAUGUUCUAUACUUUCUGCAAAUAUGAUUAGAUAUAUCUCGCGUGGCCUCUAUACUGUGUAUGACUUCGUUCCUGAUUUUUGUUCCGUCCCCUCAGCAAAUAGUAUGACUGUUGAGCCUACCAUCAUUAUGUUUUUAUCCCACAACGUUACUCCUUUACCGUGUCCACCCUCAGGUUUGCCCUAGCGUCAGUUAGUUCUGGAAAAUAAAAAAUAAAAAGGAAACUUGUGGAGUUUUCCUUUUUUUUUGCUGGAGAUAAGGGAGAAUGUAGCAGUUAUGCUACGGACCAUUUAAAAUUAAUUACGAUUUUCGAUUCACUCAAUUAAAUUUCAUUAAAAUACCCCUCUAGAAAAUUCUUUGGAGACGCCUAUUUAAUCGCCUAGGUGCCUAUUUUCGCAGCGAAGCAAGAGGAAAGCACCGCGCAUGUUUCUAUCGGAUCGAUACGAAUCGAUUUCCGAUAACAUUGAAGAUCAGUUGGUCAGGAAACGGCUCGAAGGACGGAUGGCGCGCCGCUAGUGAGGUGAUUCUCACUUUUAAGUGACGGGAUUGAGACAAAUUUUCGAUGGAAAUCAAAUAAUUAGAAGGAAAUCAAGCGUCAGCUAAUCCCAUCUACAAAACUAGAUAACCAAAGUUAAACAUCUCUUUGGACUUCUUCACAUAACAGAAGUGGAUAUUCCGGCGUGCCUGCCUUGUUUCAAUCCCGUAACUUAGUUAUUUAGUCACACAACGUGACUCUAUCACGUUGAUUAUGUACUACCUAGUUAGAUUGCUAGCCACUCUGUGAUGGUUUAUCCCUAGAGUGGGCUGUUUUUGUUGGAUAAUACACCAUACCGGAUUUUAUUACAACCAGCAUCUUCACCCAGGACCUUGCAGUAGGACUUACUCACCACAGCAGCCAACCGUUUUAUCGUGCCAAAAGGGAAUUUCCUAAGGAAUUCAUCUCUAUGGACUUGCAACCCUACUUUUAACCGACUGUUGUGUAAAAGCUAAGUUUAUUUACUUUUUCAUUAUUUACUUUUGGGUAAGAUAUAUUUGCUACAUUGUAAACUUUUCGUAUGCAUACGAUUAGGAAGAGUACAUAUAUUUUCGUGAUAGACAGGGUUUUAGGUCGUUGGUUUUUUUUUGAUUUAAUAUAAGUAGUAGUUUUAAAUAAAUAAAAUCAGGUCUUGUUUAAUAAUCAUCAAUAAUUGUAUCUUAAAAUUUAAUAGGGAAUCGGGUUGUAAAAUUUUGUCGCGGAUUUUAAAUAGGGAAUACGUCUCGUAGGUUUUUUUUUUUGUAAAAUAUAUAAAGAGUCACUGACCAACUCAUUUAUAUAGACCUUUUUGCUAUUCCAACGGACUUUUGAUUUGGAUUUUGAUUUUAAUACUUUUGCUUGGCCAGUGAUAGUGGAUAAUUGCUUGUUGAGUGGCCUUUGCGGUCCUAUUUUAUCUUUUCUCCAUCCACUAUCACUGUUAUUACGUUGCGUUAUAUGUAAAGUAUUAUUAUUUAAUAUUUAUUAUUAAUAUAUUUGUAUGUAUUAA
Diabrotica virgifera virgifera (western corn rootworm) is the source of this 2424-nucleotide long non-coding RNA. RefSeq lists it as uncharacterized. The transcript has 2 exons. The record is from RefSeq and is a predicted model, not a curated record. Lineage: Eukaryota; Metazoa; Arthropoda; Insecta; Coleoptera; Chrysomelidae.